UGGGGAAUAUUGCACAAUGGACGGAAGUCUGAUGCAGCAACGCCGCGUGCGGGAUGACGGCCUUCGGGUUGUAAACCGCUUUUUCUCAUGACGAAGUUUUUUGACGGUAGUGGGGGAAGAAGCACCGGCUAACUACGUGCCAGCAGCCGCGGUGAUACGUAGGGUGCGAGCGUUGUCCGGAAUUAUUGGGCGUAAAGAGCUUGUAGGCGGUUUGUCGCGUCGAUAGUGCAAACUCAGUGCUUAACGCUGAGCCUGCUGUUGAUACGGGCAGACUGGAGGAAGGUAGGGGAGAAUGGAAUUCCCGGUGGAGCGGUGGAAUGCGCAGAUAUCGGGAGGAACACCGGUGGCGAAGGCGGUUCUCUGGGCCUUUCCUGACGCUGAGAAGCGAAAGCGUGGGGAGCGAACAGG
This 408-nucleotide ribosomal RNA is filed under the name Fusobacteriota bacterium. Its description in RNAcentral is "Fusobacteria bacterium partial 16S ribosomal RNA". It matches the Rfam family "Bacterial small subunit ribosomal RNA", at positions 355 to 776 of the family's 1533-position model. The record is from RNAcentral. Lineage: Bacteria; Fusobacteriati; Fusobacteriota.